Molecule: small nuclear RNA, 103 nt
Filed under: Canis lupus familiaris (dog)
Lineage: Eukaryota; Metazoa; Chordata; Mammalia; Carnivora; Canidae
Also listed under: 1 other name
Source: RNAcentral
GUGCUCACUUCAGCAGCACAUGUACUAAAAUUGGAAGGAUACAGAGAUUAGCGUGGCCCCUUGCAAGGAUGACAUGCAAAUUUAUGAAGCAUUCCAUGUUAAA